Molecule: ribosomal RNA, 432 nt
Filed under: uncultured bacterium
Lineage: Bacteria
Description: partial 16S ribosomal RNA
Rfam family: Bacterial small subunit ribosomal RNA
Source: RNAcentral
AACGAACGCUGGCGGCAUGCCUAACACAUGCCAGUCGAACGAGACCUUCGGGUCUAGUGGCGCACGGGUGCGUAACGCGUGGGAACCUGCCCUUAGGUUCGGAAUAACUCCCCGAAAGGGGUGCUAAUACCGGAUAAUGUCUUCGGACCAAAGAUUUAUCGCCUUUGGAUGGGCCCGCGUUGGAUUAGCUAGUUGGUAGGGUAAAAGCCUACCAAGGCGACGAUCCAUAGCUGGUCUGAGAGGAUGAUCAGCCACACUGGGACUGAGACACGGCCCAGACCCCUACGGGAGGCAGGAGUGGGGAAUAUGGGAAAAUGGGCGAAAGCCUGAUCCAGCAAUGCCGGGGGAGGGAUGAAGGCCUUAGGGUUGUAAAGCUCUUUUACCCGGGAUGAUAAUGACAGUACCGGGAAAAAAAGCCCCGGCUAACUCCGG